Molecule: ribosomal RNA, 467 nt
Filed under: uncultured bacterium
Lineage: Bacteria
Description: partial 16S ribosomal RNA
Rfam family: Bacterial small subunit ribosomal RNA
Source: RNAcentral
GAUGAACGCUGGCGGCGUGCCUAACACAUGCAAGUCGAGCGAUUCUCUUCGGAGGAGAGCGGCGGACGGGUGAGUAACGCGUGGGUAACCUGCCCUGUACACACGGAUAACAUACAGAAAGGUAUGCUAAUACGAGAUAAUAUACUUUUAUCGCAUGGUAGAAGUAUCAAAGCUUUUGCGGUACAGGAUGGACCCGCGUCUGAUUAGCUAGUUGGUAAGGUAACGGCUUACCAAGGCGACGAUCAGUAGCCGACCUGAGAGGGUGAUCGGCCACAUUGGAACUGAGACACGGUCCAAACUCCUACGGGAGGCAGCAGUGGGGAAUAUUGCACAAUGGGCGAAAGCCUGAUGCAGCAACGCCGCGUGAGCGAUGAAGGCCUUCGGGUCGUAAAGCUCUGUCCUCAAGGAAGAUAAUGACGGUACUUGAGGAGGAAGCCCCGGCUAACUACGUGCCAGCCGCCGCCUAA